GACGAAGGUGGCAAGCGUUACUCGGAAUUACUAGGCGUAAAGCGUGGGUAGGUGGUUCGGCAAGUCUGUUGUGAAAGCUCCCGGCUCAACUGGGAGAGGUCAAUGGAUACUACCGGACUUGAAUGUGGGAGAGGUCACUGGAAUUCCUGGUGUAGCGGUGAAAUGCGUAGAGAUCAGGAGGAACACCGAUGGCGAAAGCAGGUGACUGGACCACUAUUGACACUGAGCCACGAAAGCUAGGGGAGCAAACAGG
RNAcentral lists this unclassified non-coding RNA (253 nucleotides) under uncultured Elusimicrobia bacterium. Its description in RNAcentral is "contains 16S-23S intergenic spacer region". It matches the Rfam family "Bacterial small subunit ribosomal RNA", at positions 524 to 776 of the family's 1533-position model. The record is from RNAcentral. Lineage: Bacteria; Pseudomonadati; Elusimicrobiota; Elusimicrobia.